This 74-nucleotide transfer RNA is filed under the name Patescibacteria group bacterium. Its description in RNAcentral is "tRNA-Ile". It matches the Rfam family "tRNA". From Rfam's summary of the family: Transfer RNA (tRNA) molecules are approximately 80 nucleotides in length. The record is from RNAcentral.
GCUCGCGUAGCUCAGUUGGUUAGAGCACCAAUCUUAUAAGUUGGGGGCCCCUGGUUCGAGUCCAGGCGCGAGCA